RNAcentral lists this long non-coding RNA (245 nucleotides) under Homo sapiens (human). RNAcentral's name for it is "HSALNT0352721". The record is from RNAcentral. Lineage: Eukaryota; Metazoa; Chordata; Mammalia; Primates; Hominidae.
GCAGGGGUGGGCAUCCGGGCUAAGGCUUUACUUGGCGGCAGUCUCGUCGGAUUUUGCAGCUUCUGGGCCCCCAAGCUGGGCCCGCGACUCGAAGGUGACUGGGAUGGUGAUCUCGUUGGACUGCGUGGCUAGCUUGGGCAUGGGGGCCUCCACGGUCAGUGUGCCCUCAGGGGACAGGGAGGAGGAGACCUGAGUGGGGUCCACACCGGUGGGGCAGCGUGUAUUUCCGCGUGAAGCACCGGGAG